Molecule: transfer RNA, 84 nt
Filed under: Verrucomicrobiales bacterium
Lineage: Bacteria; Pseudomonadati; Verrucomicrobiota; Verrucomicrobiia; Verrucomicrobiales
Description: tRNA-Leu
Rfam family: tRNA
About the family: Transfer RNA (tRNA) molecules are approximately 80 nucleotides in length. Their secondary structure includes four short double-helical elements and three loops (D, anti-codon, and T loops).
Source: RNAcentral
GCUGGCGUGGCGGAAUGGUAGACGCAACGGACUUAAAAUCCGUUGCUCAUUGCGAGCGUGCGGGUUCAAGUCCCGCUGUCGGUA